Molecule: long non-coding RNA, 732 nt
Organism: Sinocyclocheilus grahami
Lineage: Eukaryota; Metazoa; Chordata; Actinopteri; Cypriniformes; Cyprinidae
Exons: 3
Source: RefSeq, a predicted model, not a curated record
AUCGACAAUCACAACAACAACACGUGCAGAUCCUGCUGAUUAUUUUGGUUUUAAAAAUGUCACUUUAACAGCGCAUAUUUCAGCUCAAUUGCAAACAAAACCGACACACAGUCCGAUAAAAUGCUGGAAACAAGUGUCACGCGACUCACCUAAGAAGUGCUGUGCUGUGGAUUGUAAAGCAGAGCUCUGGGACGUGUGGACAGACAGAGACUGUAAUGAUGGACAUCUGCUCGUGGACAGUCUGUCCAAAAGCAUAACCACUGCUGGUCACAGUGCGGGAAGCUCCGGGGGGAGACUGUACUGGUAUCCCCCUUCUUUGGGCGCGCCUUCACACACACUCCAGCAUUCACUCAUAUCACAGAGACCUGGCUGGGAUCAAACCAGCAACCUCUGAACCCGUGAGGCAGCGCUCUUACCUGUGAGCCACAGGUCUCUUGUGAGAGCACGUGAAGGAACUUAUUUUUGACUGUUGACUUGUGAGUUCCCAAUAAAGAAGUUAAAGUAAGCUGUGUACGUGAUAUAAUGAGGUGAGAUUUGAACCCAUGUUUCCAUCUCAGGUUUGUUCUCAGAGAUUCCCAUCGUGGAUUUCACUUCGUGUUUUAGUGACUUUGUUGGAUGAGAUUGAUUUACAGUAAGAAACAGUGGGAUUUGAACUCAGAUCUCCCAGAUUCAAACACAAAGUUUUAUCUCUUGAGCCACUGAGUCUGUGGAGCUGUUGAGUGUUUUGAACUU